UACCGCAUAUGAUAUGUUUUGGAAUCAAGAUAUAUUGAAAGGCGCCUUUAAAGCGUCACUAGUGGAUGAGGAUGCGGCGUAUUAGCUUGUUGGUGUGGUAAUGGCGCACCAAAGUAAUGAUACGUAGCCGACCUGAGAGGGUGAUCGGCCACAUCGGGACUGAGACACGGCCCGAACUUCUACGGAAGGCAGCAGUAGGAAAUUUUUCACAAUGGGCGAAAGCCUGAUGGAGCAAUGCCGCGUGAUUGAUGAAGUCCUUCGGGAUGUAAAGAUCUGUUAUAAGGAAAGAAAUGUAAGUAUAGGAAAUGAUAUUUACUUUGACGGUACCUUAUCAGAAAGCCAUGGCUAACUAUGUGCCAGCAGCCGCGGUAAUACAUAGGUGGC
This 384-nucleotide ribosomal RNA is filed under the name Spiroplasma endosymbiont of Paederus caligatus. Its description in RNAcentral is "bacterial SSU rRNA". It matches the Rfam family "Bacterial small subunit ribosomal RNA", at positions 167 to 535 of the family's 1533-position model. Lineage: Bacteria; Bacillati; Mycoplasmatota; Mollicutes; Entomoplasmatales; Spiroplasmataceae. The record is from RNAcentral.